This 510-nucleotide long non-coding RNA is filed under the name Homo sapiens (human). Its description in RNAcentral is "non-protein coding lnc-ATF4-1:1". The record is from RNAcentral. Lineage: Eukaryota; Metazoa; Chordata; Mammalia; Primates; Hominidae.
GGAAAUGUAUAGUGUUCUGCUUUUCUCCUGAUUGGGUUAUCUUGCCUCUGCUAAGUUUGGUUUGUCCCGUCUCUAUCUCAGUGGCCACUGGAGAGAGGGUGUCUGCUGUUCUUCCCUGAUUCCACCUGUAAAUACAAACGUUAUCUCUUCUCCCUGGCUUUGCUCUGUGCAUUUGAGGUGGGAAUGUACUCGGUUUGGCGAAAUAGUCUUUCAUGUCCCUAAACCUGAAGCCUCUAUUGACUGUAAAUGGUAGAGAAAAGGAAAGUACCCCCAAGGUGUGAACUCUAGUUAGGGAAAAAAAUAUUUUUGGGCUUGACAGUGACUCUUAGUUAACUCAAUUACUGGAAUAAUAGAGUCAGAAAUAUUUCUUUGUUUUUCAGGGAGGUAGAGGCAGGAGCGUAAGAUGUGGAAGCUAGAAAUAUCCACUUGUAACACGGUAUUAGAAGGAAUGUUAUUUUACAUGGAAGAUAAUCCUCAGUGAUCCUUUUUUUUUUUUCUUCAAGACGGAGU